CAAGAGAUCACAUACGAUCGUCCAUUUAUUGACCAUUUAGUCUAUUUUUAAUCGAUAAUUUCAUUAGACUUCUUGUACACUAGGCUAUCCCGUGUUCGAAUAUAAUUAUGCGGUAAACGCUACUAACCCCCAAAAUAAAGAGUGGACAAAUCACGAGCACAUCAAACUUAUUACUGGCCUGGGCUUAACCCGGACCUGAACCGAAAUGAAGGGAUCAGAUAUGUUACAGAUCUAUAGAAAACCCCGAUCGGGUUUCGUUUGGCAGUUCGGCUUAAACUGAUAACCAAAGAGUAACCUGAAGUGAACCGAACCUAUAUAAUAUAUAACAUAUCUAUCUAUCUAUCUAUCUAUAAUAAUAAAAUAGAGUAUUCUCUCUUCUCAGGCCUCCACGCCAUCAAGAACAUAGGGGUAAAAGCUGCCACGUCAGCAUGUCUAAACCACUCUACGUCUACGACUUAUGAUAAUUUGUUUACGUAUUGGGUUUCUUUAUUUUAAAUUAAUUGGGCUCACUACUUUAACUUUCGAGUGGACCUAAAUUCUAUAUAUCUUAAUAAAAACCCACAUACAGGGGAUCAAUCAUCGUCUCUCACCUCCCUGUUUGACGAAAGAUUAGUUACAGUAACCUUUGAUGUUCAUCCUACUGCCUCUGGUUAGUCAAAUCCGUAACGGUCUCGAGGUGCAUUCAGUCUAUCUAAUUACCUUCUCAUUAACGCCAUUGAUCUACCACCUAUACUACUCCGCAUUUAAGACAUCCCCUUCUUCCUCCAUGUUAGCCAAUCUAGACCUAUAAAUAAGAGAGUCUGCAUCGUAGAUACACAUCAUUGCUCCUUAUCGAACACUAUACUAAGAGAAUCAAUCACCAACUAUGUCGACCUCCCCAUUUUGAUCGCCUAUUUGAAAGCCGGCUACUGUCACGAACACCGUCAAAGUCCGAUUGUUGAGGUUUUGGAAAGCUCAUGGGGUAGACAUGUCCUCUUCGACCAGAAGGUCUUCAAAACGAAUUGCAGUAUACUAGGAAAAUCUAUGUCACCGGCACGGAAGAGCACACAAAACCACCAUGAAUGUGCUUACAAUAGCUGGAAUCAUAGGAGAAGAAGGCAUCGAGUGAAAAAGCUGAAUUUUAAUUGAGCAAGAGAUUCACAUGUUGCGAGAAAAAAGAUUUGCUCAAUGGAAAGAGAGGUCACCAACUAAGCUUUGGUAUAAGGGGGAUAUCAUAUAAGGAAGUGGCACUCAGGAGCAUCCACCACUUAUAUCCUUUAGAGACCCUGACCAUCUCUAUUUUCACUAAGUUUUUGGAGAAGGUAUGGGAAAAUCUUACUUUAAAGCUUUUUGGUUCAAGUACACAACAGUAGAUACGGAUAUUAGAUAUUCUGGUUGAAAUUAUUGGGAUCAAGUCAGUCAGUUUAUCAUUCAGUAUGUAUUCCAAGCAACAAUUCACUUAGUAUGACGGAAGAGGAACGUAAUGACUUCAAUUCCUGCAUCUUGUGUAAUACAAAACAUUGACAAAAUUGUCUGGUACAAAAUUUCAUCUCUGCUAGGAUAAGAGGCAAUCAAUAUGUAGAAGCUAUGGAAAUUUGGUUUGCUUCAAGAUGACAAAUCUGAUCUUCAAAUAACUUUGGGAAAUUUGUUAACUAAUCAUUUGUCUCAACACACCUUUUCUAUUAUUUACCCUUUUUGUUCAUUUUACCCUUUACUAAAUUAUAAAAUAUUAUAAAUAAAUACAUUUCUGAACUUUUACAGUAAAAUAAAAAAAAACAUUAAUAUUUGAUUGGUUAGAAUUUAUUUUCGAAGAAUUAAAAAAAAUUGUUAUAAAUUUUCUAAAACUAAUUCUGCUUAAUCUAGAAGUUAUCUUCUGCAUCUAGGGGAAAGCAUAACACAUAUUCUAAUAUCUGAACUAUUGGUACCAAAGUUAGAACAGGAACUCUAAGAACUAGCCAAGAUUACGAAUAUAAACAUUUCCUUUCUAAGAUGUCACUAGAAAAUAAUUUGGAUUUAUGUUUAUAAAAUUUCAUUACACACAUACUUUAGAUAAACCAUUUAAUUAAUUUAUUGCAACAAAAUAACUUGAAAUAAAUAAAAUUAAAAACCGUUAAUACAAAAGCUUACAAAAUACUCUUAUGUAAAAAUAAAUAUUAGAUUGAUUAUGGGAAGAUCACAUUUUUCUUAUGUUUCAAACUUCCUAAAUAAAUGUACAGAGAGAAAGUAAAAUAAAAAAAGAUCAUCACAUUUCCAUGAAUAUUUUCUUCCUAAUACACUAUGGAAAAUUUGAUUUUACAGUCACAAUUUUUUUUUAAAUACCAUAUUAAAAUAAUUCUAAGCAAAUAAUAUUAGAAAAUGUGUGAAUCAUCAAAAAUAUAAACAACCAUAAAAAUUAAAAUAAAAUUUCUCCGGAUUUGAUAGCAGAAUGUAUUCUCAAAUAAUAAAAACACAAAGCCUGAGAACUUCGAAAAAGAAACACACACCACUUCUCAAAUAAUAAAACUAUCGCCACUACACUUAGAGAUUUACCAAGACAAAGACUUAGCAUAUCUACACAACAUAUUCAAAUAACAACAUAUUCAAAUAACAAUACGUUACAUUCCGCGCGAAGCGCGGACGCACCACUAGUAUACAUAUAUACAUAACACAAGUGAGUCUCUUCCUCUUUUCGAUACUUUUUGUUUCAGAGCAAAAUCAUUAAACAAGAAGCUAUUCAUCUUCUUCUACUUUUCGAAAUCCCUAAUCAUAUCUGCUAUUAAACCUAAAGAGCCUCUUGUGUUUCAAAAACUUACUCAUUCUCCAUCUUCUUCGAUUUCAUGAAAACAACCCCAUGUGAAUAACAACUUAUGAAUUUCACAAUCCAUAAUCUCCUAUUUCUUCACAUGUUCUGUGAUUCGAUUUGGAGUUUGGAUGAGAAGAAAUUAGGUUUUCUAAAUCUUAGGGUUUAGAGUUAUGGAAUGCUAGGGGUUUCUGUUAGGGUUACUUAACUUGAAUACGAUUGAAUGUUAGGUUUCUUUUCGAUUGAAUGUAAUUUCUUCUCUUAUGAAUCACGAAUGAUUCUACAUGUAGUUUUUUUUCAGAUAGAUUCAUCUUCAACUCCAAACCGUGUUACUCUUAACAAUGAAAAAUAUGUAGAAGGUGAUGAAGAACAAGAGUUGAUGACUCCAAAUAGUAGAGGCAAGCAUAAAAAACACCUGGAGCUAGUGGAGAAACAUACCAAGCAAAGAAAUCUCCUCGAGUUCUUCCUACAAGGUCUAAAGUUUGGGAAUGUUAUACAAGAAUAAAGGAGAAUCGUGACAAAUGAAUUUGUCAUUAAUGCAAGAAGGAGUUUUGUUGCUCAACAAGGUCGGGAACAUCAAACUUGAUGAAGCAUCUUACUGUCUAGAAACACUACUUGGCAUUUUCAGAGGCCAAAGUUCCACUCAGCCUGAUAUCAAUGAAGAAGGAAAACUGAAGUCUGAAAAAGUCAAUGAAACUAUUUUCGGAGAAGUUACUAUUGAGAUGAUGGUGAUAGGAGAGUUACCAUUGAGUUUCAUAGAAAGUGUUGCUUGGAAAAAAUUUUGUUCUAAGAUGAAUCUAUACAAACAUGUUUCAAAAAGGACAUCAACAAGAGACACUGUUGAGCUGUAUGUGCAGAGGAAGGCCGUUAUGAAGAAAUGGUUUAAAGCUUAUAAGCACAAUGUUUUUCUGACUACAAUGUUGCUGUUACAUGGUUGUCACUUCCCAUUACAUUUAUGCUUGUUGGCGACUGAAGAAGCUCAUCAAUGAGUUCAAACCCGUCACUGAUCACAAAGGUCAGACAAUUUCUAAGGUUCUUUUGGAUAUCUUAGUUGGCUGUGGAAGAGAAAAUGUAUUUUUGUAACUGUAGACAAUGCAACAACUAAUUCUUCGACUUUGAGGAUA
Molecule: long non-coding RNA, 3882 nt
Organism: Brassica napus (rape)
Lineage: Eukaryota; Viridiplantae; Streptophyta; Magnoliopsida; Brassicales; Brassicaceae
Exons: 6
Source: RefSeq, a predicted model, not a curated record